UAGAGUUUGAUCCAUGGCUCAGGAUGAACGCUGGCGGCGUGCUUAACACAUGCAAGUCGAACGAUGAAGCCCAGCUUGCUGGGUGGAUUAGUGGCGAACGGGUGAGUAACACGUGAGUAACCUGCCCUUAACUCUGGGAUAAGCCUGGGAAACUGGGUCUAAUACCGGAUAGGAGCGUCCUCACCGCAUGGUGGGUGUUGGAAAGAUUUAUCGGUUUUGGAUGGACUCGCGGCCUAUCAGCUUGUUGGUGAGGUAAUGGCUCACCAAGGCGACGACGGGUAGCCGGCCUGAGAGGGUGACCGGCCACACUGGGACUGAGACACGGCCCAGACUCCUACGGGAGGCAGCAGUGGGGAAUAUUGCACAAUGGGCGAAAGCCUGAUGCAGCGACGCCGCGUGAGGGAUGACGGCCUUCGGGUUGUAAACCUCUUUCAGUAGGGAAGAAGCGAAAGAGACGGUAC
RNAcentral lists this ribosomal RNA (461 nucleotides) under Micrococcus luteus. RNAcentral's name for it is "bacterial SSU rRNA". It matches the Rfam family "Bacterial small subunit ribosomal RNA", at positions 1 to 478 of the family's 1533-position model. Lineage: Bacteria; Bacillati; Actinomycetota; Actinomycetes; Micrococcales; Micrococcaceae. The record is from RNAcentral.